This 1280-nucleotide long non-coding RNA is filed under the name Oryzias sinensis (Chinese medaka). RNAcentral's name for it is "lncRNA (ENSOSIG00000018195.1)". The record is from RNAcentral. Lineage: Eukaryota; Metazoa; Chordata; Actinopteri; Beloniformes; Adrianichthyidae.
UUACUGAACACACAGAUUGCAGAUCUGGAGGUAGCUUUAAAAGUGAAACAAGUCUCGCCCUGGUUGUGUUUGGGUUUCCAACCUCUGAGGACCUAAACUGCUUUAGAAUAAAAUAGAGGGGGGAGAAGGAAAAAAAAUCACAUUUUUGGUUGAAAUAACUUUAGCACAGUUCACACUUGCUUUUAAGCUUAUUUUCAAAGAAAUUACUUACAGGCCAAACGGAUAGUUAUGCAUUUAGGUCAGUCAGGAGGAAGAGGAGGGAGAAUAGUGUUGGAGGACGGUAGAGGAAAGCUCAGCUUCAAAAGAGGAAGAGAGUGGUCAAACCAAUUAUAAUUAUGUGGAAAGUUUUAGGGCACAGUAGGGGAUGGUUAUUGAUCCCUGCUAACCAAAAAAGGCUGAUAGAAAUGGAAAAAAAGCAGUUCAGUCAGCUAAUUGGAGUUAAUGUUGUGGAGCAGACUCUUCCUGGCAGAACAUGGGGAACCAGCUUUUGGACUGCUGUGAGCCGAGUCUGCAGCAAACAGGUUUUCAACAGACGGGAGGUCCUGACACAAAAGGUCAUCAACUGGACUGUCCUGCACACACGUGGCAUCAAACAAAAGCGGUAAAAAGGAGUUGUUGGUGUGCGCAGGUGAAUCACAUGGACAUGGGCCGGGUCGACAGCUGGUGUAAAGUGGGCUCUGCAGGCGUCCUUCCCUCGGAUUACAUUUUAAUGGAUUAAAACUAAACAGCAAUCAAUAAAGCGGCAACACGCCCAUACAUCUGCAUGCCGACGCAGCUGGACAACACAAUUAAAUUAGUGCAUCUGGCACACAGUGUCAAACCCUACAAGCACACACACUGUGGACUGAAGGACAGAUGCUACCCCCUCACCCUUCUUUUCAUCAUCCUCUCAAAGCCAGCUGCAAAGAAGAUUUGGGACUGACGAGUUCUGUCCCUUUCCCCCCCCCCCUUGAACCCCAUGCUCCUAGCCCCUUCAGCCUUGGUCUUCAAUAAACUUUUGUCUUUCAUGGAAUGAUUGCCGCUUCAGACAAAGGAAAAAGAUGAAGGUCAAUUAAAGUUUGGCUCCAGCUUUGGAUGAAUUUUUCCUCUGCAGGCAUCUAUCUGCAUGUUUUAGACUCUUUGUCAACAUCGAGAAAGUUGAUUUUUAUUUUAAUCGUCAGAAACUUUUUGUUUGAGGAAAGUUGGAGGAAAAACUGACAAAAGUUCUUCCAACUUAGCUUCACUACUUUUUAUACAAACAUCUCCCAAUGGACUGGAACAGGUGCAAAACUGUUUUUGUG